GAUGAACGCUGGCGGCGUGCCUAAUACAUGCAAGUCGAGCGAACGGACGAGAAGCUUGCUUUUCUGAUGUUAGCGGCGGACGGGUGAGUAACACGUGGAUAACCUACCUAUAAGACUGGGAUAACUUCGGGAAACCGGAGCUAAUACCGGAUAAUAUUUUGAACCGCAUGGUUCAAAAGUGAAAGACGGUCUUGCUGUCACUUAUAGAUGGAUCCGCGCUGCAUUAGCUAGUUGGUAAGGUAACGGCUUACCAAGGCAACGAUGCAUAGCCGACCUGAGAGGGUGAUCGGCCACACUGGAACUGAGACACGGUCCAGACUCCUACGGGAGGCAGCAGUAGGGAAUCUUCCGCAAUGGGCGAAAGCCUGACGGCGCAACGCCGCGUGAGUGAUGAAGGUCUUCGGAUCGUAAAACUCUGUUAUUAGGGAAGAACAUAUGUGUAAGUAACUGUGCACAUCUUGACGGUACCUAAUCAGAAAGCCACGGCUAACUACGUG
Molecule: ribosomal RNA, 497 nt
Filed under: uncultured bacterium
Lineage: Bacteria
Description: partial 16S ribosomal RNA
Rfam family: Bacterial small subunit ribosomal RNA
Source: RNAcentral